ACGUAGGGUGCGAGCGUUAAUCGGAAUUACUGGGCGUAAAGUGUGCGCAGGCGGCGUUGCAAGUCGAGUGUGAAAGCCCCGGGCUUAACUUGGGAAUUGCGCUCGAAACUACGAUGCUGGAGUAUGGCAGAGGAAGGUGGAAUUCCACGUGUAGCGGUGAAAUGCGUAGAGAUGUGGAGGAACACCGAUGGCGAAGGCAGCCUUCUGGGCCAAUACUGACGCUCAUGCACGAAAGCGUGGGGAGCAAACAGGA
Molecule: ribosomal RNA, 253 nt
Filed under: uncultured prokaryote
Description: partial 16S ribosomal RNA
Rfam family: Bacterial small subunit ribosomal RNA
Source: RNAcentral